RNAcentral lists this ribosomal RNA (496 nucleotides) under uncultured bacterium. RNAcentral's name for it is "partial 16S ribosomal RNA". It matches the Rfam family "Bacterial small subunit ribosomal RNA", at positions 29 to 507 of the family's 1533-position model. The record is from RNAcentral.
AUGCACGCUGGCGGCGUGCCUAAUACAUGCCAGUCGAGCGAACGGACGAGAAGCUUGCUUCUCUGAUGUUAGCGGCGGACGGGUGAGUAACACGUGGAUAACCUACCUAUAAGACUGGGCUAACUUCGGGAAACCGGAGCUAAUACCGGAUAAUAUUUUGAACCGCAUGGUUCAAAAGUGAAAGACGGUCUUGCUGUCACUUAUAGAUGGAUCCGCGCUGCAUUAGCUAGUUGGUAAGGUAACGGCUUACCAAGGCAACGAUGCAUAGCCGACCUGAGAGGGUGAUCGGCCACACUGGAACUGAGACACGGUCCAGACUCCUACGGGAGGCAGCAGUAGGGAAUCUUCCGCAAUGGGCGAAAGCCUGACGGAGCAACGCCGCGUGAGUGAUGAAGGUCUUCGGAUCGUAAAACUCUGUUAUUAGGGAAGAACAUAUGUGUAAGUAACUGUGCACAUCUUGACGGUACCUAAUCAGAAAGCCACGGCUAACUACGUG